This is a long non-coding RNA of Dama dama (fallow deer), 10613 nucleotides long. RefSeq lists it as uncharacterized. Lineage: Eukaryota; Metazoa; Chordata; Mammalia; Artiodactyla; Cervidae. The record is from RefSeq and is a predicted model, not a curated record. The transcript is spliced from 2 exons.
ACCAUUUGUGCUCAAGUUUGCACACCCUGCUGUUCCUGGGUUUUAACAGAAACUCAUCACCAACGUAUCCAUCACUCCAUUGAUGAAAGGUGAGGAAGGAGGAGUCAGAAGUUGCCAGUUUGCCUUUAGGAUGGAUUGUUUUCUUCCCUGGUAACACUGGGGAGUUUCUCUCUUCUUGCCCGUUCCCACGAUCCAUUUGCUCUCAUCAUCUUCGUUCAGAGGGAAGAGCGUCAUCCUUGCCUUCUAGCCCCAGGGAUUAGCAGUAUUCACCCAAGAAUGAAAACACAGACAGUAUCCUGUCUUUUCUCUUCCAUGGGCUCUGCUUCUGCGACCCCCCCCCCGAGCUAAGAGAGGUGGGCAUCUUGCAAUGUUGGCGAAGGCAGCUGCAGCCUCUGGGGCUCUUCCCACCACCAGCCAGGUGCUGUGGGCUUUCACACACUAAUUUUGUCCCGUGGACUCCUUACUCCACCCUGUGAGUUAAGGAGCCUUAUCCCUGAUUUGUCGGGAGAGAACCAGGGGCCAGAGAGCUGGAGUGAUAGUACGGGGGAUGUGCCUCAGUUCUAUUGUCAUUAGAUGUGGCUGAACCUACGUACAGUGUGGAAUUAGGUGAGAAGAGAGCUGGGCAUGAGGAUCUGGCACACAGCAUACACACGGCAGCCCUGAGAUUGUUAUCAGAAGUAUAUAUCUUCAUCGGGGAUGUUUGAAUGUGUGGGAUCUGAGAUUUCCUUGGCCCACUUGAAGAAAAAUCCCUCCCUGAAUCCAUGCCCCUUGUCAUUCUUUGCUGUAAGCGUCUCAUUCCCCUAUGGCUUGUCCUAGUCUCACGUCAGGGCCUGAUUGUUGCAGAGACAGAAGACCAGUCCAUGGCAAGGCCUUCCGUGUGCCCUGGGACACAGAGGGGCCCACACUGCCCUGUCUCCUCCGUGGGGCCCUCUAGCCUGUCCACUGGAUGCCCUGCUUAAGGGACUGCCAGAGCUCCCUGUACAGUUCGCCCCGACAGGACCGCUGUGUGCGGCCUCCUUGAAGAGGCCUUGGGUAUGAAGAGGGCCUCUGUCCUGUGAGUGAUCCUGUAGCACACACCGGGGGUGGAUCUCGCAGUGACUGGUUCUAGAGGUAGGUCUUCAGGCAGGAUUACUUAACGUCUUGAUGCUUCAGUUUCCUUGCCCCAAAAGGAGAUGAUAAUAAUACCACCUUCCUUGCCAACUGGUUUGAGUACAAGUGAGCUCAUGGAGAUGAGUGCUUGGAAAGGACUGAACACAUAGAAAGCGCACGAUAAAUGCACUUAUUGUUAUUAGAUUGUGUCGCACUUUCCUUUACCCAGCUUUAGAAUAUUGGCACUGUGAUCUUUCCUUCUCACAUCUUAACGUGAAGGCUCUCUAGGUAGCCGAUGUCCUUAUGUAUUUAUUUAGCAAGUUAACCGAAAAGAUUGACCUUAAAGAAAGUUAAAGACUCCUGUACUGAUUUUAAGAGAAUGAAAUGGGAUAUAUAUACUAAUUAUCGUUUCCUUUUUAAGAGGCCCAAACUGCUGCCUGGCAGUUGACAGCAACAGUGGAUUUUGUGUAUGUGCAAAUGUAUACAUUGGAAGCAGUUGAAAUGUAAUUUCCAAACUCAGGACUAAUUCAUAUCCUUGGUUGGAACAGAUAGUGUUGCUGGCCAAAAUCUUGGCUUUCUUUGUCCACCAAAGCCAAUUAAAAAGUACGGAGACAGAAUUUGGAGGAAAUGGAAAGGUGGAAAUGGAAAGGUGGCUUUAAUUCUCAGCCAGCAGAGCGGGGAACACAGUAGGCCCAUGCCUCAAGAACUGUGCCUCCACGAGGAGUCUAGGGGCUUGUAUAAGAUGAGGCCUCGCAGUCUGGAGUAGGUGAUGAGGAGCAAAGGCGUUAGGACUUGUCCAAAAACAGUCAUAGGCUGGCAUCGGUAACCCAGUAAUUGAGUCUGGCAGUUCAGUGGCUCUGCCUUUCUGAUAUGUAACUGCUAGGGGAAGGCUGUUCGAAGGGUAAACACCAGAUGCAGGAUGUAUUUAGCAUAUAGAGUCCAAGGAAAAUAGGUGCAGAAGUGUAGCUCCUACAAAGUUAGGGGGAAGGAAAGCAAACUUAGUUACAGACAUGCAGAGUUAGGAACAGUUUAAAAAAAAAAAAAAAGCUAGAAAUGAUCAGGCCUGCUCGCUGUUCUCUUUAUCUUCUUUGUUCUCUGGGAAAGGGAAAUUAAAAAACUCUUUUUUUUUUUUUUCCUGUUUUUCAUGGCAACAGUGGUACUUUCCUAUUACCUAAAGCCCUCAUUUCUACCCAUUCUUCUGGAUGACCUUUGCAGUAGUCUGGUAAUCAUGUGGCCUCUGGACCAUAACAGUGCUCUGUUAGUAACUCACACUCAGACUUGUACUCUCAGGUCGUUGAAGUAGCUUUUUGCAAACAAUGGUGAGCAAUGACCUAGUGUCCUUGAAAGGGUUACUGUUCCCAUUGUAUUCUCAGGAAAUAAUUUGCAGUACAGAGGAGUUUGGUUCAUUAGAAUUCCCCCGCUAAGAAACGUGGGGGGGCCCACCCUGUAGGUGCCCAGAGCUGCCCUGUCACUUGCCACUGGUCACUUUUGAGCACUUGAAAUGGGACGGGUGUGACUGAGGGUGUGUGUUUUUUAAUUUUAAUGAAUUAUGAUUUAAAAUUUUAAACAGAAGUAGGAUGAGAUAUUUUUCUGUUGAAUAUAACUAUUUUGGUGGGACCACAUUUUAUGUGAUCAUGUCAUUUGAUCUUUGUUACAUUCGUUGAGUGUUUUGUCACUUGUAAUAGCUCAUUAAUAAUUUAAAAUUUUUGGUGACAAAGUAAAAUGAUGUUUUGAUAUAUUGGGUGAAAUAAAUAAUACUGAUUAAAUAAAAUUAACUGUUUUCUUUUUUUGUAAGGCUGCUAAAAUCGUUUUGGGCUUCCCUGGUGACUCAGUAAAGAAUCCUCCUGCAGUUUAGCAAACCUGGGUUUGAUCCCUGGGUUGGGGAGAUUCCCUGGAGAAGGGAAUGGUAACCCACUCCAGUAUUCUUGCCUGGAGAAUUUUGUGGACAGAGGAGCCUCGUGGGCUCUAGGCCAUGGGGUCUCAGAGUCGGACACGACUAACACUUUAAUGUAGUGUUAAACUACAUUUUUCGGAGUGACUAACACUUUCCCUUUUCUCUAAAGUUGUUUAAAUCACACAUAUGGCUUGCAUUAAAUUUAUACUGGAAAGUACUGCCUUAGAGCCUCUAUUACAGGUUGCUGAAAUUAGCUUGUUCUAAAGUUCAAAAUUAGGUUCCGGGCUUACAUUUUGACUUUACGGAAUCAGAGUUGUUUAGAUGAAGGGAUCUUUGGACUCACCCAACCCAACCCUGUCCUUCUGCAGAUGGAGAGACUGAGGUUCAAAGUUGCUGUAACAUGUUACUGUAACAUGACCGUGGAUGGGUGUGGAACUUAAUGUGCUUUAGAGCCUAUUGCUUUCCUUCCUGGGCUUCCUUGGCGUUGGAAACAUGGUGGGCGUCAGGGCUGCAAAGAACUUCCACCAGUUCCUGAUAGAGGGAUUUAAAAAGCAAUUAUUUUAGGCAAUGAGAGAAAGAAUUUUUGUACUGUGUCUCCCGUGGACAGGAUGAUUGAUUCCAUGUUUGACGUGUAAAUUUUUGUUGGGCAGUAUAAUGAUAUAUCCAUGGGGAAUAGUAGUAAUAAGGUACAAAUAAUUCCCACACUUUGUGCGAGCACUUACUUUGGAAAACUCCAUACAUCUGGCUUUCAUAUUUUUCAUUUAAGGAGUUCUUUUCCCAAAACCAGAGAUUUUAAACCAGACCCACAGCUUUUGUCCUUGAGAAAAAGACUGAGAGCUUGACUUCAGGUGUUUGUUAUUUAGGUAGGUAGCCUGAGAUCCUUUGGUAAAAGUUUAGGCCUGUUUUAUGGUAUUGUUUUCUUCGUGGCAAAACUGACUUAAGGAAGAAGCCACCAACAAUUAAAAUGAACACCCUUAGAGCAAACCAGAAUUUUUUGUCUAUUUUGAGGAAUCGAGGAGGAAAGGGAGCCAUGAUGAGUCACUAAAUGGUGAUUUGAUUUAUGGGUCUGUCCAUCAGGUUUAGCGAGGGCUGCUUCCGCUACAGAUACAGUUGACAAGUCAGACGACCUUUGAUAUUUAACCUUUCUGAACCUAUUUCUUCAUCUUGCUAAUCUUCACACAGAGUAGUGUGAGGAUUAAUUGACACAGUCAUGCAAGUGAAAGUGGUUUGUGCUCUGUAAGCAUUAAAAAUGGAAGGGCUGCUGUCUCAAAGGGCUUCCUUUCUCCAAGAAGAUGUAGAACUAUUUCUGGGGUCACCCUUGGUCUUGGUGAGCCUGUGGAUGAGUCAGUCAAGUUUGGAAUGUGCAUUUGGUGGGCCCAUGGCCUUGACCCCAUGAUUUGGGACUUCUCAGGCUUCCACGUUAAUUUAAAGCACUUCUUGCUCUUGGUAGCAGAGAUGGUCUGCCUGAAGUCAGGGUUAGAACUGGAAGCCCUUUAGUCCUAUUGUGUUGAAUAUGGGCAUAAUCUUUAGAUACCACUGAGGAUUUAGAGAUUAGGAGUAGGGAAAGGAAAGUUCUCUGCAGAAAAGUGCAGGUCAUACUUUGGUCAGAUAACAGGGUUCUAUAGGCCAGGGUUCUAUUUGGUUGCAGGAUCAAAUGCCACACGACAGUUUUGUACACUUCUGUUUUCAAAGUAAUUCCUAGCAUUUCAGAAAUUUAAGGACUAGAAAUUGCAAUAGAAAGGUCUAGUUUGAAAUCUAAUUUCUGUGAGUUGACCAGAUGACCCUUCCUGGGUUCAGCUCAGUCAGAUGAGACCUAGUGUCAGUUACCCAUUUAGUAUCUCUGGGCUUUGGGAUACUUAUUUAUAAAUUUGGUGUUUGGUCUGUGUUCUGCAAGAUCACCAUCGGCUCUUCUUAGUUACUUGUGUGUUCAGUGUAAUUUAAUAGCCAACUUACAUGUUUUUGAGAGACACAUCCCUAGACGAAUACCUUUUCCUGGUCUUCAAAGAGCUAGUACAUAUAGUCAGCCUGGUUGGACUUGCUUUCUCUUUUAUAGAUUAUACUCCAUUUAAAGUUAUUAUAAAAUAUUGAUGAUAUUGCUUGUGCUGUACACUACAUCUUGGUAUCUUAUUUAUUUUAUACCACUAGUAGUUUGUACUUCUUAAUCCUCUUCCCCUAUCUUGCCCCUCUCUUCCAACCCUCUUUCACUGGAAACCACUUGUUUGUUCUCUGUAUCUGUGUUUUGUUAUAUUCAGUUGUAUGUUUUAUUUUUUAGAGUCCAUAUAGAGGUGAAAACAGAAUUGGUCUUCCUCUACUUGACUUAUUUCACCAAGCAUAAUACCUUCCAGGUCCAUCCAUGUUGUUGCAAAUGGCAGAAUUUUCUCCUUUUUUGGCUGAGUGGUAUUCCAUUGUGUAUAUUUACAGCAUAUCUUCUGUAUCCCUUCAUCUCUUCAUGGACACUUCAGUUGUUUCCAUAUCUAGGCUGUUGUAAACAAUGCUGUGGUGAACACUGGGGUGCAUAUCUUUCUUUUCAAAUUAUUUCAAAUGUUUUUUGUUUUCUUCAGAUGUAUACUCAGCUAUGGAAUUGCUGGAUCAUAUGGUAGUUCCAUUUUUAUUUGACUUGGUUUUUUCUUGGGAAUUCACCUUGUCUGGUAGAAGGACUGAGGUUGCCAACUUUGCUCGUUUCACCUGUUGAGACUGCCUGACAUCUACCUGUGUGUACGGUGGCCUUUAUGUUUCUUGCCCCUGCAGAUUGUUUUACCAGCUCCAAAGGCACCAACCAAGAUUACCUUGGCUGGACAUAGACUGGUGAUUAAAGAAAUGUUGGCUGGACAACUGACUAUGUACAGUAUAUUCUCUUUAGUCUUAGUUUUAUUGUCUUAUCUUUAAAAAUACUGAGAGGGCUGAUUUUGAAAUGAGUUUGAAAUUAAUAUAGGAGACCUUAUAUCAACAAUUACCAUGUAUUUAUUGGGUGAGUACCAUGUGCCAAUGUGCUGCAAGGUAUGAAGGACACAUGAUUGGGGAAAAGAGUGGGGAAAAUUGGCAUUUCUCAUUGUAUAAUAAAUAAAAAUGUGUAUACUCCUUGACCAGCAGUUCUGAGUAUCUGUCUCAUAGGUGAUCCUCACACAUUGUUGAAAUGAUUUAUGUACAAAGAUAGCCAUGGUAGCAUCAUUUGCCCUAGCAAAAGAUUAGGAAUAACUUGAAAGCCCAAUGAGGGACUGAUUAAGAUUGUUAUAAAAAGGUCUAUUCUUAAAAUACUGCUCAGCCAUUAAAAAUAAUGAAACAACUUUAUGCCCUGAUGUAGAACCAUCGCUAAAGUAUAUUAAAUAAGAAAUAAGUGUAGAAUGUUGUGAUUAUAUACUACUUGUGUGUGUGUCUGUGAAAUGUGUUAGUCCCUAAGUCAUGUCCAACUCUUUGCAACCCAUGGACUGUAGCCCACCAGGCUCCUCUAUCAAUGGAGUUCUCCAGGCAAGAAUACUGGAGCAGGUAGCCUUUCCCUUCUCCAGGAGAUCUUCCCAACCCAGGGAUCGAACCCAGGUCUCCUUUAUUGUGGGCAAAUUCUUUACCACUAGCACCACCUGGGAAAUAUGUGCCUGCGGGUGUGUAUUUAAUAGAAUAUCUUCCUAAGGACACAAAAAACUGAUGCCAGUGGUUGCCUUGGGGAGAGAUAACUGGGAGAUUACUUUCGUAGCUUUUAAAGUUAUCCUAUAUACACAUGCCGUCUAUUAAAAAAGACAUUGUCGUGCCCUGAAGGAGUUUGCAGUUUAGUUGGGCCAUUGUAAGAAAGCCCACAUAAGAUAUACAGAGAAAGGACUGGGGGUGAGUAUUGGCUUUAUGGGAAGAUCUAAAUGCUAAACUCUGCUUGUGCGGGUUGACUGGACUUGCCUAGUUGUCAGGACGGGCGGGCUGAGCAUCAGUGAGCUGGCUUCCAGCCUUAGCAUCCCACCCGGCAGGGGGCACGGGGCUGAAGCAGUUUGCAGCCUUUGUCCUGUGGUGGUGGGAAGCGCCCACAGGCUGGACAUCAGAUCUGGAUUGGGGUUCUGGCUCUGCCACUUGCCAACUUGCAAUUUGGGGCAGGGAUGCUGGAGACCCAGAGCCUAAUUGUGCUCAUCCAUAGAUGAAGAUAAACCACCUCCUCAUGCUGUGCAGUGGUCAGUCCUGCAAACCAUGAAGUGCUUUGCGAACACCAGCUGAGAUAGAAGCUGCGAGGAAUCUGCUGACUGGCAAGCUGGGACCAGAGGUGCAAAUUUAAAAAUUCAGUUCAGUUCAGUCACUCAGUCGUGUCCGACUCUUUGCCACCCCAUGAAUCGCAGCACGCCAGGCCUCCCUGUCCAUCACCAACUUCUGGAGUUUACUCAAACUCAUGUCCAUCGAGCCGGUGAUGCCAUCCAGCCAUCUCAUCCUCUGUCGUCCCCUUCUCCUCCCGCCCCCAACCCCUUCCAGCAUCAGGGUCUUCUCAAAUGAGUCAACUCUUCGAAUAAUGUGGCCAAAGUAUUGGAGUUUCAGCUUUAGCAUCAGUCCCUCCAAUGAACACCCAGGACUGAUCUCCUUUAUGAUGGACUGGUUGGAUCUCCUUGCACUCCAAGGGACUCUCAAGAGUCUUCUCCAACACCACAGUUCAAAAGCAUCAAUUCUUUGGCAGUUAGCUUUCUUCGCAGUCCAACUCUCACAUCCAUACAUGACCACUGGAAAAACCAUAGCCUUGACUAGAUGCACCUUUGUUGGCAAAGUAAUGUCUCUGCUUUUUAAUAUGCUAUCUAGGUUGGUCAUAAUUUUCCUUCUCAGGAGUAAGUGUCUUUUAAUUUCAUGACUGCAAUCACCAUCUGCAGUGAUUUUGGAGCCCAGAAAAAUAAAGUCUAACACUGUUUCCCCAUCUAUUUCCCAUGAAGUGAUGGGACCAGAUGCCAUGAUCUUAGUUUUCUGAAUGUUGAGCUUUAAGCCAACUUUUUCACUCUCUUUCAUCAAGAGGUUUUUUAGUUCCUCUUCAAUCACUGCCAUAAGGGUGGUGUCAUCUGCAUAUCUGAGAUUAUUGAUAUUUCUCCUGGCAAUCUUGAUUCCAGCUUGUGCUUCUUCCAGCCCAGCAUUUCUCAUGAUGUACUCUGCAUAUAAGUUAAAUAAGCAGGGUGACAGUAUACAGCCUUGAUGUACUCCUUUUCCUAUUUGGAACCAGUCUGUUGUUCCAUGUCCAGUUCUGUUGCUUCCUGACCUGGAUAUAGCAAAAAUAUAUCUUUCCCCUCCUAUCUGCCAAAUAACUGGGCAGGAGUCAUAAAAUUAGAUGUUAAAUUAGAAAAGUAGACCACAGUAGCUUUGGAACCCUUGACCUUUGAUCUCGGGACAGUCAUUUCACCCUUUAGACCAGUUUCCCUGUUUGAAAAAUGAAAGGGGCUAUGUGUGUCCUCUGGGUGCCUCCUGUCACCACGUUGUGUGACAGUGUGGCAUCAGCAGGAAUUCCCAUGCCAUCUGAGAUGAGUCAUAUUGACUGAAAAGUCCACAUGCAAGGAGGACGUCUCUGAGAAUUUUCCUUGUGCUGGAGAAUCUGAGCCUCUGGGGAGAAACUGGGGGUGGGGGCGGGAUUGCUGCCACGAAGAGGGGAGACCAGAAAGGCAGGGUGAGUGGAGAUGGGUUGUCUUCUCCACCUCCAAAACCUCCUUUGCUUUCCAGUAUUCAUACAGACUAGAUGUUUGGAAAAACCAAGCUUUGCCCCUUGUUUAAGUGGGUGGGAUGUUCAUGUGCUUGUGACCGGUGAGCUUUUGACUCCUCUGCGAAGUCUCUGCAGUUUAGUGACACUUCCUCAGUGCUGUCUUGGCCCCUACAUGCUUUUCUCCUCACGUCUCUAAACUGAGAUCAGAGACUGUCCUCUUGACCUCUGUGUCCCCAGCACCUAUCGUAGUUCCAGGUACCUGAGAGGUGAGCUGUGUGUUUGUAUUCAGUGGGUAGCUGGAUUAAUGAUCCAUUUAUGUACACUAAUAUUGACUACCACCUUUAUUAUAACUAUCACCAUUCUGGUAAAGUGACAUUUUAGCCACUAGUAGCUUAUUAUUUUGAGAAAUAUUUCAUACUCAAUAAAGUUAACACUAAAAAAUAAUUAAGCAGACCCCCCUUUGUAAUGUUGUUUUUACGGGAUGUACAAAAAAAGCUAAGUAUUUUAGACAGUCUCUGUAUAUUACGAUAUAUGCGUAUCUAAGAUUCAUCACUGUCACUUCCACAGGCACACAGGUCUUGAGCUGGCAGCAAGUAACAGCAGGCCUGAAUCCCUGGCCCAGUUCUUACCUUUUAGAGCUAAUUGUAAGCAGUUAAAUCUGAAAAGAAGCUUUAAGAUUAAAAUAAAUAAUUUGUUUACAAAUGCAGGAUCCAGAGAGGGUGAAAGAUCAUUAGGGGGUUUAGAAGUGGCAGAAAUAGCUAAAAGAGUUCCAGGGGUCCGAGCAUGCUGGGGCUCUGCCCUCUCUCGUGGGGGCAGGUGCAGGGGGCUGAGCAAGCAGUUCUGUUUGAUGCCACCCAAGGUGGGUAUCUGAUGACCUGUUCAGUUCACACUUGGUAAAUGUCAGCGUGCAUGCUGAGUGAAGUUAGAGUUAGAGCCAAUGCUCCUGCAGGUUUUCUUGGUAAGAAAAGGUGUGUGUGUUUUCCUAUAGAAUCAUUCUAGUAGUGAUAACAGACCUAUUCACAAAAUUACUUUCAUGUGUAGAGUGCAGCAUCCAGAGCUGAAUACCUUCAUGGCUUGUUAAAAAAUGGAGGUGAAAAAAAUGGGUCCUGAAGUUUGCUUAUCAAACAAAGCCGCUCGACAUAGUGACUUACCCUUGCAUAGGCCAUUUGAGGCCCAACAGCAGCGUCCUGCAAAAAUACUACAAACGGGCAGAAAUUAACUCUGCUGGCAUCCAGGUGUGAAACUUCCCAUAGAAAACUCAGAUUCACUUUUGGAAUCAGUAGCAGUGGGAUCACCUGCUGUUUUGGAAAUUAACUGUCCUUUCUGAUUUCUUUUUGGCCAAACACAUAUAUGUCUCUUAGGAAAAUAAACAGUCCAAAUUCUUCCUCUGUUCACUUUCAGGCCUUGCUUUACCUUUGCAUCACACUUUGCAGUGUACAGACAAGUGUAAUGGAUGAAAGUUCCAGUAAACUGGCUUGAUCAUGUUUCUUAGGUUGAGUCACUGCUGAGAAACUUGUGAGCAGGAAAGAGCACAUGAAAAUGUACACAGUAACAAGCUGGACUGUGAGGAAAUGGGACCAUUUUCUAGCUGAAAGACACAAGCGUAGGAGGAUGUGUCUGCAACUCAUGGACUAGCAAAUAUGUGAUCUAGGAUUUUAAGUCAUUGAAUAAUUCAUGUUUGGUGUGUUUGAGAUUUUUUUUUUAAUGCUGUUAAAAACUGCUAGUUAUUGAAGACUGAGGAAAUAAUCCUUAGUAAAUUUACUCUAGAAGGAAAACUCGGAUUAGUGGUAACUAUUAUUACCUAUUAGGGGUCUCUGCUGACAUAUAAACUGGUUGCAAGGCCAGUUAUUUUUUUAAAUGGAGCUGUAGUUACACAGAAAUUAACCCAGUGACAUUUACACUUGACCUCAGUGUCUGUAAGGCCUCUUCCACCUGUAACAUUCUAUGAUUCUGUAUAAAUGUUUUUUUUUACCUUUGUUUUAAACCACUUAC